GGGGCCCUAUGGGGCGCAGCAGUAGGGAAUUUCCGUCAAUGGGCGCAAGCCUGAACGAGCGAUGCCGCGUGAGUGAAGAAGGCCUUCGGGUCGUAAAGCUCUGUUGCGGGGGAAAAAAGGCAGCAUCAGGAAAUGGGUGCUGACUGAUGGUGCCCCGCCAGAAAGUCACGGCUACCUACGUGCCAGCAGCCGCGGUAAUACGUAGGUGGCGAGCGUUAUCCGGAAUGAUUGGGCGUAAAGGGUGCGCAGGCGGUCCUGCAAGUCUGGAGUGAAACGCAUGAGCUCAACUCAUGCAUGGCUUUUGG
Molecule: ribosomal RNA, 305 nt
Filed under: uncultured bacterium
Lineage: Bacteria
Description: bacterial SSU rRNA
Rfam family: Bacterial small subunit ribosomal RNA
Source: RNAcentral